This 2324-nucleotide long non-coding RNA is filed under the name Pan troglodytes (chimpanzee). RNAcentral describes it as "long non-coding RNA NONPTRT000002". The record is from RNAcentral. Lineage: Eukaryota; Metazoa; Chordata; Mammalia; Primates; Hominidae.
GUGCCUAUACCUCCCAGGGAGGAGCUUCCCUCCUCUCACCUGCUGCACGAGCCCUAGUGCUUCACCAACUCCAGCCUCAGUGCCCUGACACUGGGGGAGGGAAAGGAAGCGCACGCACCAGCCGUUUCACCCACCGAAGGUGUUUGGUCCCAGUCUGCAAAAUCAGUUAAAUGUCUUCCUGCCUGGCAGCAGAUCAAAGGGUGAGGGGUCUGGGACAGACAGAGACGGCUAGAGAAUGGAUGGUGAAGUGCUCAGAGGCCCUGUGGGCUAUCCCACACUCGGCGGAAGACAGCAACACCAUCAAAUCUCCACCCUUUGUUAUCCAUGACUUAAAGAAAAGUGAACAGGGAGGUGGACAACUGUGCAAAGACUGGCUGGAGUCAAAUCCUGGGCAUAGGUGAAGCAUCGAGAAUGCUUGUCACACGUUUGAAUGUGCAGGGGGACUCUGACUGGAAGCUCCUAGCAGAGGCUGAAGACACUGGUUAGAUCCUGGUGCGUGCCUUGGGAUGCAUCCCAGGCAAUGGGCCCAGGAGCUUGAGGUCAUGUGCACCUGGCUCACCAGGGAGUCCUGCACCAUUCUUCAAACCUAACUGGAAGAGACACUGAUCCUUCCUCCCACCUAAGGGCUCCCAGAGCCACAGGUCUCCGUCUCUCCUGCAACACCUCCUGCUGCCUGUUCCCACCGCCCAUGAUUCACUCAGUCACCAUCCUCAGCAGCACCCGACAGCCUCUGUGUGUCUGUGUCACUCACCAUUACCAGCCCCCCGGGUGCCCAAUGCAUGUAUGUUAGACAGAACAAAUGCACGGCGGCCUUCAUCAGCACCGACCGCGUCGACCCCUCUCUGUGCUCACGCCAGGAGUGAUCAGCGCACACGCCCUCCCACAGGAUGGGAGAAGGUGAUAACACAGCUGAGCUGGGUGUCCAGAAGCCAGCCCCACCCCAGAGCCACUACUGAGAGGUUAUGAGAUCAUGGCCUUAUCCCGAGUAAUGCUGCUGCAGUGAACUGGGACUUUUUUCCUCUGAAUUCAAAGGUGGGGCAGUCUAGGCACCUGGAUGCACCAUCUGCUCUGUCCCCACCCGGUGGCUGCUCACUGUGGGAUGCUGUGCGAUUAGACAGUUACUAUCUUUCCCUGGUUGACGGAUUAGAGUUUCCCUUUUCUGAGCAUCUUGUUUUGAAGUGAUCCGAAGUGUUUAGGGUUAAAGAGCGUGAUUUUCCCAAACUGUCCAAAGAAAUAGAAGCAGGUCUGCAAGAGGGGGGUGCCCAGAGCCUUGAGAUGGAAGCGAGAUGGGGUGAUACCUGGGGAGCUCUCCAGGCCGCCGGGAAGCUGCACGUCAUCCUCUGGACCUCUUUGCUGACUGUGUGCUGUCACCACAGCAGCCGCCUUCUCUCAUCUGUAAACAGGAUUUUACGUAACUUUCCAUACACUUGGUUGUUGACAAUUAAGUAGAUUGUUUUUAAAGAUACUUGAAAUGAUAUCAGAAUUUCCUAAAUAUAUCAUUAAAACAGGAAACUUAGUUACCUACGCACUCGAAUCACUGGAGAAUACCAAAUAGGAAUAGGAAAAUAACACACCGGUAAGAAAAAUGUCCAAGGCCAAUCACAGGAGUCAAAGCUCGUGAUCAAAUCAGCUCUGCCUGGGGAGGCCGUGCUCGUGGCACCAUUUAGUGACAAGUGGGUGACUCUGGGGUGAGUUCCAGGGGAGUCACCCCCAAGGCAGCAGCUCAGGUGCAACCACCAUGGAGGCAGUUUCACUGAGGGGCCCUCUGAGGCCCCUACUCUGAGAUUCUAAGACAGGGUUUGAAGAAUGUUCCAGCAUUUGAACAAAUGAACCCUGUGAUGGUCUGCUGUGGGAGAGAACAAUGUCCCAAUUUUGCCCAGGUUACAUUAGUUAUAAUAUACACUCUGGAGGUGACUUGACUUGUCAUUGUGAACAACUAUUGCUCUUGGACGACCCAGGACAUAGGCCAGCCAGUACGUACCCCAGUGUGUUGGAGAAUCGUGCUCGGCUUCUUCCUCUGUGCUGAGUCAUGAAAGUUGCCGGAGCAGGUGCAGUUACACAACCUCCAGACAACAUCACAUGAUCGUUCAAAAAAUAAUCAUCAAGUCCAGGAUGCAGCAUCUGUCUCAGUUUUUGGCGUAGGAUGACAGUCUGAAAUACACUUACUGAAUUUGAAUAAGAACGGGCUCAGGUCAGUGAUGAUCGCUGGUGCCUUAUCAACGCCCUGUGGCUUCUCAGCAUUAGUCCCCAUAUCCUCGACCGGCGUGGCACUGAGAGCAGCUAACUGUUGCCCUCGUUGGUUCCCAGUUGGCUUCCAUGACUGG